This 901-nucleotide long non-coding RNA is filed under the name Scleropages formosus (Asian bonytongue). RNAcentral's name for it is "lncRNA (ENSSFOG00015031707.1)". Lineage: Eukaryota; Metazoa; Chordata; Actinopteri; Osteoglossiformes; Osteoglossidae. The record is from RNAcentral.
AUUUUUUUCUUCUCAACCUGCUGUUACAGGUGUUAUAUAUAUAUAUGUACGGCUUUAGCAUUCUUAUGGAGAUGCCUGAAGGGAUUGUGUGUAUUUAUAUUUUUAAGAAGACAGCCUGUUUGUUCCUCUCCAGGUAAGCAGUUAUAUUUUCAACUGCUCUGAACACACAGGUAUUUUCCAGACUUCCGCUUAAAAAGAGUAAAACUAAAAAGCCAAAUGACAUCACCAUUCCAGAGUUGUUUGUCCUAUCAAGUCUUAGCCUUGCUGCUUUAAUCAAACCAGGUCUCCAUGCUGUAAAUGAUCAAAUAUAACCAGGGCUCUGCUACUGGUGGUGUGUGAGACCCUCAGAUCUAUUUCACAUCAAGUUGACUUUCUUCAGGAAAAGUCGCAUGUCAGCAUGAUCUAGAAAGUGUUCAUUUUGUAUAUUUUGCCCUUUGUCCAUCUCCCCAGUCAAAAUCCAUGUCUUGGUCAGGGGCAUGACCCUGAACUCCCACAAGACAUUCAUGAGAACGCUGGACAUGUCCUUGGAGGAGUCUACCCUGGAGGAGUGCAGUGUGAUCCUGGUCUUCUGUUCCAUUACCACUCGGAUGGGGACGGCUAUAGAGGGGACCAUGAAUGUCAUUCCAGAUGAAAAACCUGCCAUUUUGGUGCUCAUGCACCACAGCUGCAACCCUGAUCACAUUGAUGACAUCCCAAUUAAAGCAUCUAAGAGCAAUGUAGUGGUUGUCACCCAUUGUGUUUUCCAUGAAUCGAGUGGACUGAUAGAGUGCAAGUUAAACCAACAAGCAGUGAGUGAAGUGAGAUCUAAGCUUAAAUUCUACCAGAGAAACACUUUAUAGAUAGAACACAUUGGAUGUAGCGGGUUAACAACCCCUCAAAUAAAAAAUAUAAAUGAAAAACA